AAUUCUCUCAUUGAAUGCCUUCCACCAAAAUGACGAGGUUCCACGCCGCUCUAUAUAUGUUCGCCUUGGGCCAUCUUGUUCUCUGCUAGAGCUUAGGCCCAGUUUCAUUCCACUGACUAAAGUUUAGUCCCUGUAGCAUCGAAUGUUUAGAUACUAAUUAGGAGUAUUAAAUAUAGACUAAUUACAAAAUUAAUUGCACAGAUGGAGGCUAAUUCGCGAGACAAAUCUAUUAAGUC
RNAcentral lists this long non-coding RNA (236 nucleotides) under Setaria italica (foxtail millet). RNAcentral's name for it is "long non-coding RNA (SITA_LNC000989)". Lineage: Eukaryota; Viridiplantae; Streptophyta; Magnoliopsida; Poales; Poaceae. The record is from RNAcentral.